Sinocyclocheilus grahami is the source of this 290-nucleotide long non-coding RNA. RefSeq lists it as uncharacterized. The record is from RefSeq and is a predicted model, not a curated record. The transcript is spliced from 3 exons. NCBI's taxonomy places the organism in Eukaryota, Metazoa, Chordata, Actinopteri, Cypriniformes, Cyprinidae.
AUCUCACAGGAAAUGAUCCUGGAGCAUCAGGAGUGAAGCAGCUCAGUGAUUUACUACAGGAUCCAAACUCUCAACUCAAGACACUGAGGUUUGUGGGUCCUGCUGCAGAUGAAGGCUGUCAGUAUGUGACUGGAAUUGUGGGUAAAAACCCGUUACUCCUGAGAGAGCUGAAUCUGAGUGGACGUGAACUAGGAGACACACGAGUGAAUCAGAUCGCUGCUCUACUGCAGGAUAAACACUGUACACUCAACACACUGAUUCUGAAGAACAACUGCAUCACAGAAGGAGCU